AUGGACCCAGCCACCGUACAGGGCCCAUCCGUCUUCCCCUUGGCCCCCUGCUCCAAAGGCCCCGCCGGGGGCGCCGCCUCCGUGACGCUGGGCUGCCUGGUCAGGGACUACUUCCCGGAGCCCGUGACCGUGGCCUGGGACGCGGGGUCCCUGACAACAAGCGUCGUGACCUUCCCCGCCGCCUUCAACUCCGGCCUCUACACCACCAGCAGCCAGGUGACCGCCUCUGGCGAGUGGGCCAAACAGCGGUUCACCUGCAGCGUGGUGCACCCCGCCGGGUCCACAACCGUCAACAGGACCAUAGACCCAGCGCCAGCGUGCGCCACGAACGUCACCCUGCCCACGGUGGGGAUCUACCACUCGUCCUGCGACCCCAGCGGCAACACCCAGGCCACCAUCCAGCUGCUGUGCCUCAUCCCCGGCUUCACCCCGGGCGACCUGGAGGUCACCUGGCUGGUGGACGGGCAGACCGAGAACCUGUUCCCGAUCACCGGCCCCGCCAGUUGGGAGGGCGCGCUGGCCUCCACCUUCAGCCAGCUCAACAUCAGCCAGGGCGAGUGGCUGUCCCAGAGAACCUACGCCUGCCAGGCCAGCCUGCACGGCUGCACGGUUAAGGCCGAAGCCCGCGCCUGCCCAGAGGCCGAGCCCCGCGGCGUGAGCGUCUACGUGAUCCCGCCCAGCCCUCUGGACCUGUACGUCCACAAGUCGCCCAAGGUCACCUGCCUGGUGGUGGACCUGGCCAGCCUGGAGGGCAUGAGCCUGCAGUGGUCCCGGGAGGGCGGGGACCUCACGAACGAGGCCACCCAGACCAACAAGCGCCACUUCAACAUGACCUACUCCGUCACGUCCACCCUGCCCGUGGACGCCGGCGACUGGAUCGAGGGCGAGACCUACAAGUGCAAGCUGACCCACCCGGACCUGCCCCAGGACAUCGUGCGCACCAUCGCCAAGGCCCCGGGCAAGCGCGCUGCCCCCGAGGUCUUCGUGUUCCCGCCGCCCAAGGAGGAGGGGGCCCAGGACACGCUCACCCUCACCUGCCUGAUCCAGGGCUUCUUCCCCGCCGACAUCUCGGUGCAGUGGCUGCGGGACAACGCCCUGCUCCCCAGCCACCAGUACACCACCACGCGGCCCCUCAGGGACAGGGGCGCCAGCCCCGCCUUCUUCGUCUUCAGCCGCCUGGAGGUCAAGGGGGCCGACUGGAAGAGGAGCAACUUCACCUGCCGAGUGACCCACGAGGCUCUGCCCAACUCACGGACCCACGACCAAUCAGUGUCCAAAGAGCUGGACCUGCAGGACCUGUGUGUGGGGGCGGCCGAGGCUGAGGAGCUGGACGGGCUGUGGCGCAGCCUCUUGGUCUUCAUCGCGCUCUUCCUGCUCAGCGUGACCUAUGGCGCCUCCGUCACCCUCUUCAAGGUGGGACCUUGGGUCUUGGGCGCCGUCCUGCAGGGGCCGCCCCGGGCCACCCACGACUACGAGAACAUCGAGGACACCGUGCGGCCGGCGGCCUGGGCACGGAGCAGCUGA
Eptesicus fuscus (big brown bat) is the source of this 1524-nucleotide non-coding RNA. The record is from the annotation of a RefSeq genome assembly. Lineage: Eukaryota; Metazoa; Chordata; Mammalia; Chiroptera; Vespertilionidae.